GAUGAACGCUAGCUACAGGCUUAACACAUGCCAGUCGCGGGGCAGCAUGGGGGUUGCUUGCAAUCCCCGAUGGCGACCGGCGCACGGGUGAGUAACGCGUAUCCAACCUGCCCUUCACCACGGGAUAACCCGGCGAAAGUCGGACUAAUACCGUAUGUUGUCCAUUGACGGCAUCCGAUUUGGACGAAAGGCUUGGCGGUGAGAGAUGGGGAUGCGUCCGAUUAGCCAGACGGCGGGGUAACGGCCCACCGUGGCUACGAUCGGUAGGGGUUCUGAGAGGAAGGUCCCCCACACUGGAACUGAGACACGGUCCAGACUCCUACGGGAGGCAGCAGUGAGGAAUAUUGGUCAAUGGGCGUAAGCCUGAACCAGCCAAGUAGCGUGCAGGAUGACGGCCCUAUGGGUUGUAAACUGCUUUUAUGCGGGGAUAAAGUGGCCCACGUGUGGGCUUUUGCAGGUACCGCAUGAAUAAGGACCGGCUAAUUCCGUG
Molecule: ribosomal RNA, 490 nt
Filed under: uncultured bacterium
Lineage: Bacteria
Description: partial 16S ribosomal RNA
Rfam family: Bacterial small subunit ribosomal RNA
Source: RNAcentral